GAGGGUAUAGCUCGGGGGAAGACCGUGUGCUUAGCAUGCACAAGGUCCUGGGUUCAAUCCCCAGUACCUCCA
RNAcentral lists this transfer RNA (72 nucleotides) under Camelus bactrianus (Bactrian camel). It matches the Rfam family "tRNA". From Rfam's summary of the family: Transfer RNA (tRNA) molecules are approximately 80 nucleotides in length. The record is from Rfam by way of RNAcentral. RNAcentral also lists the same sequence under 2 other names. Lineage: Eukaryota; Metazoa; Chordata; Mammalia; Artiodactyla; Camelidae.